Molecule: non-coding RNA, 135 nt
Organism: Triticum aestivum (bread wheat)
Lineage: Eukaryota; Viridiplantae; Streptophyta; Magnoliopsida; Poales; Poaceae
Source: Rfam
UACCUACUCCCUCCGUCCGAAAAUACUUGUCAUCAAAAUAAACAAAAGGGGAUGUAUCUAGAACUAAAAUAUAUCUAGAUACAUCCUCUUUUAUUCAUUUUGAUGACAAGUAUUCCCGGACGGGGGGAGUACUAU